RNAcentral lists this long non-coding RNA (709 nucleotides) under Felis catus (domestic cat). RNAcentral's name for it is "lncRNA (ENSFCAG00000052625.1)". Lineage: Eukaryota; Metazoa; Chordata; Mammalia; Carnivora; Felidae. The record is from RNAcentral.
GCCAGAUGGACGUGCGGUGACCCAGGGGAGGGAAUUGUGGCCAAGGACAGCGCUUGGUGUUGGCUCCACUUGGCCCAUUGUCUCCCGGGCACGUAGCUAAACUACAGUUCCCAGCUUUCCCUGCAUAUAACCAUGUGAUCUACUCUGGCCAAUGGAAUGUGAGCAGAAGGCACCCAGCGCGGUGAAUGGGGGCGGGGGUCCUAUCCUGAGACCCAACAACACAGUGGGUUGUCCAAGGCCCUUGGGUGUCUGAGUCAUUGCCUGGAGAAUUGGGAGGGGGUCCCGGUCAGGAAUGCCCGUGGGAGACCUUGCUUGAGCAAGAGAGACAUUUUUGUUGUGUUAGGUGUGGAGAUGUGGAGCAUGUUUCUUACGCAGCUAGCAGCUGAUGACUAAUACAGUAAGCUUUCCUGGAAGCUCCGGCAGACCUGUCUGCACAGCUCCUUGACCAGAGCUGGACUGCAUGCUGUCCCCUCUGUCCCCUGCCUCGUCUGCAGGAUCUGCAUUCCCUUCGUCCCUUCGAGGUGUCCCCUGAUCUCUGCUACAGAAGCCUUUAAGACUCCUCAGCCCUCCUGCAGCCUGUGCAGAGCUCAGUGUCCAUCCCUUUGUGGCUUAAAUCAACUAAGCGAGAAGAUCGAAGAGUGAAGACCUGGGAUUGAUGGCCGUCCACAUGUAGAAACAGAGAAAGGGAAGGUCAAGUUCUCGGUGUCGG